GAUUCCCUCAGUAGCGGCGAGCGAACGGGGACCAGCCCUUAAGCUGGACAACUGGUAGGAGAAGGCCCUGGAAAGAGCCGCCAUAGUGGGUGAUAGCCCCGUAUCCGAAACCUGAGUCCAGUGAAAUCGAGUAGGACGGGACACGAGACAUCCUGUCUGAACAUGGGGGGACCAUCCUCCAAGGCUAAAUACUCCUGAUUGACCGAUAGUGAACCAGUACCGUGAGGGAAAGGCGAAAAGAACCCCUGUGAGGGGAGUGAAAUAGAUCCUGAAACCGUAUGCGUACAAGCAGUCGGAGCGGACUUGUUCCGUGACGGCGUACCUUUUGUAUAAUGGGUCAGCGACUUAUGUUCAGUGGCGAGGUUAACCGUUUAGGGGAGCCGUAGGGAAACCGAGUCUGAAUAGGGCGAUUUAGUCGCUGGGCAUAGACCCGAAACCGGGCGAUCUAUCCAUGAGCAGGUUGAAGGUUGAGUAACAUCAACUGGAGGACCGAACCCACUGUCGUUGAAAAGCCAGGGGAUGACUUGUGGAUCGGAGUGAAAGGCUAAUCAAGCUCGGAGAUAGCUGGUUCUCCCCGAAAGCUAUUUAGGUAGCGCCUCGGACGAAUACCACAGGGGGUAGAGCACUGUUUCGGCUAGGGGGUCAUCCCGACUUACCAACCCGAUGCAAACUCCGAAUACCUGUGAGUACUAUCCGGGAGACACACGGUGGGUGCUAACGUCCAUCGUGAAGAGGGAAACAACCCAGACCGCCAGCUAAGGUCCCCAAAUACCAGUUAAGUGGGAAACGAUGUGGGAAGGCAUAGACAGCUAGGAGGUUGGCUUAGAAGCAGCCA
This 835-nucleotide ribosomal RNA is filed under the name Pteridomonas danica. RNAcentral's name for it is "partial Bacterial large subunit ribosomal RNA". It matches the Rfam family "Bacterial large subunit ribosomal RNA", at positions 233 to 1118 of the family's 2925-position model. The record is from RNAcentral. Lineage: Eukaryota; Dictyochophyceae; Pedinellales.